UAUAUUUUCUUCAAACAGUAAAUACUCGUGGAAUGCGUGGUAAUCUAUAGAUGCUUUAUGGGCGUGAAUUUGGUGUGGUAAUUUUUUAUUUCACAAUAAGUAUAGACUGAGAUUUAUGUAGCUUUAUGUCACAUAAAUUACGUGUCAGCCCAAACGAAUAUAGCUAAUUCUUGUACACCGUACCCUGGUUUCUGGCACAAGAGUCGCACCCACGGAGAGGAAGGAGUAUUUUCCGAUUCGAUACUGUGAGAUCCAGAUCUGACCAUGCCCUGGACAGAUAAUCCAGGGCAUGAAUGUGGAAGCGGCUCUGGCAAUUUGCGCUGGAGCAUGCAUUUCAUCUGGAAGUGUGAUUUUUUUUUUUAUUAGCCUGAAAUCGUGUUCAAGUCCAUUAAAGGUAUAAUUUUCCUUGCCCGUUUAUUUCUAAUUGUUCUUGGUUAUACAAAUGGACACGAGAAGCGGUGGUGUCUGGAGGCAGAAGUCUGGAAGAGGAAAGCUGGGUGUAAGCUAGCAUAAUUACAUCCUUUGUUAUAUGUAAGGAUAGCCUAAGUCAGCAGUUAUUCAGAGUAGGUGAAAGCCCACGCUGAUCCACUGUGCAAAGCAUUGUGGCUCACUGGGUUGUCCCUGAGAGGUUUUACAGUUUAGAAAUAAGAAAUCAUAGUAACGGGUAUUUUCUUACUUCUCUGUACUGCAGUCAUCGUUAAGGAUUUCAUUUGGCUUUGGAUCAGGCUUCGUAGAAGGUUCUGCAGAAAAGUGGACGACUAAAAGUCACCUUAAACAUCUGCAAAAAUUGGGCUAUACAGGUAUUUCCCUCCGUGAGUAAUGGGAUGAAACAGAGAGAACAUGGCUGAUCAAAGGCCUGUUUUUGGAAAUGAGCACGGGCUUCAUCCAAAAUAGUCUGAAACAUCCUGGGCGAUGACGUGGCCGGCACCGGCAUCCCGGCCGGGGAUCCA
Struthio camelus australis is the source of this 950-nucleotide non-coding RNA. NCBI's taxonomy places the organism in Eukaryota, Metazoa, Chordata, Aves, Struthioniformes, Struthionidae. The record is from RefSeq and is a predicted model, not a curated record.